Molecule: long non-coding RNA, 1122 nt
Filed under: Meleagris gallopavo (turkey)
Lineage: Eukaryota; Metazoa; Chordata; Aves; Galliformes; Phasianidae
Description: lncRNA (ENSMGAG00000019741.1)
Source: RNAcentral
AUGUGUUUUGCCACUAGAGAGCCCACGAAAUGGGCACAGGAUCCUGGGGCUGCGGGGAUGGAAAUUGGAAAGUCAUACAAUCAUAGAUCCAUAGAAUGGCAUAGGUUGGAGGAGACCCAAAGGCCCCCCCCCAGCCCUCCCCCCUCCGUGGACUGGCUGCCCUCCAGUUCAGGCUGCCCAGGGCCCAUCUCCAUAGGAGAGGUCCCCAUGGAGACCUGCAACAAUGGCAGAGGCUCAGGCACGCACCGUGCAUCCCCAGCACCUCGUGCAGCAGCCGCCGGUUCCUCUCCACCCUCUCAGCCAAGGACAGCGGCUCCGGGCCCGCCGUCACCUCCUUGCCAGCAGAAACCAGAGGGGGAGAGCCCCCCAGGCCCCCCCGCUCCCCCCAUGGCGCAGUGCCAUCCAGCAGCCCGUCGGUCAGCGCCUUCACUUUGCCCUCCAGCACGGCGUGGGGGUCCCGGGGGGCUCUGCGGGACGGGGCCCUUCCAUGUGCCCUGCGAGGAGAGAGCGCGUGAGGGCAGCCCGCCCGCGGCCUACGUGGCCGGCCCCGAGUGAUGCCAAGCCCUCGGAGCACAAACCCUGCAUGGAAGCGCCUUCCCAAUGGCACCGAUGGAGCCCUCCGUGCCCCGCUCGGCCCAGCAGCCUCUCAUCCCCUCCCAGGGAGCCCGCAAUGCGCUGGGGAUGAAGAACACCCCUCCGUCACCCUGGGCCCCCACAGAGCCAGGACAGCCACGAGGGCCGGGCUUACCCCGAGCAUCGGGAGAGGGCCGGGAUGGAGGGAGAAGAAAGCGGAAGAGGAGAAGGAAGCAUAGGGAGGAAAUUAAAAAAAAGCAGCAAAUCCCAGCCACUCCAGCCCUGCCUGAGCUCCGCCGCUUGGCUGGGCUGCUGGCUGCGGCCGGCCCUGCCUCCCGCCCCGGCCUCCCCCUCCUCCUCCUCCUCCUCCUCCACCCGCUCCAUGGCGGGGCUCCCAGCCAAACCCGGCACAGAUGCUGACACCCAAGCUGGAGGGGGCCAUGGGGCCACCGCGGUCACACGCAGCCCAGGGGACACCGGGGACACGGUGCACCUAGAGCAGUGCCAAGGCCACCCGUGGGACACCCUCUGGUUGUGCAAACAAACGGC